This 239-nucleotide ribosomal RNA is filed under the name uncultured bacterium. RNAcentral's name for it is "partial 16S ribosomal RNA". It matches the Rfam family "Bacterial small subunit ribosomal RNA", at positions 15 to 236 of the family's 1533-position model. The record is from RNAcentral.
GAUCCUGGCUCAGGAUGAACGCUGGCGGCGUGCCUAACACAUGCAAGUCGAACGAAGCGAUUUAACGGAAGUUUUCGGAUGGAAGUUGAAUUGACUGAGUGGCGGACGGGUGAGUAACGCGUGGGUAACCUGCCUUGUACUGGGGGACAACAGUUAGAAAUGACUGCUAAUACCGCAUAAGCGCACAGUAUCGCAUGAUACAGUGUGAAAAACUCCGGUGGUACAAGAUGGACCCGCGU